Long non-coding RNA from Nematolebias whitei (Rio pearlfish), 356 nucleotides. RefSeq lists it as uncharacterized. Lineage: Eukaryota; Metazoa; Chordata; Actinopteri; Cyprinodontiformes; Rivulidae. The transcript has 3 exons. The record is from RefSeq and is a predicted model, not a curated record.
AAGGCGCGUUUUCUGAGCUCAUGUUGUCAGGCGAAAAGUAGCUUCACCGUGUAGCCUAAAGUGACCUACGAAUGUUUUAGCUUCAGUAAAGUCAUCAGUUUAAGUUGAACUAAACAGCAUGGCAACUAAAAAGAAACGAACGCCAAACACACAGAAUGACAGCUGGGUUGUGGUUUGUGCAGACUCAGUCUUAAACACACAGAAGCAAAACAGUGAUCCUGCUUUUUUAAGGCUGAGGAAUCCCUCAACAGACGGAGCAUCUCUGUACGUGCUGGGGAGCGGAGAUUUGCAGCUGUACGAGGUCAAAGCAUUUGAAGAAGAUUUUCACUCCUGGUUUGUUGGUCAGACCGUACAGA